Molecule: long non-coding RNA, 191 nt
Organism: Aricia agestis (brown argus)
Lineage: Eukaryota; Metazoa; Arthropoda; Insecta; Lepidoptera; Lycaenidae
Exons: 3
Source: RefSeq, a predicted model, not a curated record
AGUGCGAAGGGUUGUCCUGUGAAGCAAGGUGUCUAGGUGUUGGUUGCUCUACUUCAUGUCAAGGUUUCUCAUGUUACUACAUCAUGAAUGGUGAAAACCAUUUCGGUGGUGGGGUCUGGGAGGACCACUAUCCCCAGUACGAUGAGGCGAAUAUAAGACCUAGCCACUAUUAAAUAAAGUUUAAAUUGCAA